Molecule: ribosomal RNA, 253 nt
Filed under: uncultured bacterium
Lineage: Bacteria
Description: partial 16S ribosomal RNA
Rfam family: Bacterial small subunit ribosomal RNA
Source: RNAcentral
UACGUAGGGGGCAAGCGUUGUCCGGAUUUAUUGGGCGUAAAGGGCUCGUAGGCGGCCAACUAAGUCAGACGUGAAAUCCCUCGGCUUAACCGGGGAACUGCGUCUGAUACUGGAUGGCUAGAGGUUGGGAGAGGGAUGCGGAAUUCCAGGUGUAGCGGUGAAAUGCGUAGAUAUCUGGAGGAACACCGGUGGCGAAGGCGGCAUCCUGGACCAAUUCUGACGCUGAGGAGCGAAAGCCAGGGGAGCAAACGGG